RNAcentral lists this unclassified non-coding RNA (223 nucleotides) under Funneliformis mosseae. RNAcentral's name for it is "partial internal transcribed spacer 2". The record is from RNAcentral. Lineage: Eukaryota; Fungi; Glomeromycota; Glomeromycetes; Glomerales; Glomeraceae.
AGAAUAAAAAUCGAGGCAUCGCUCUUUUUUUGAAGGGUGAUCGCGUCGGACUUGAGCCGUCUUUCAAAUGUUAAUUCAUGUCAAAGUGGCUUAAAAUUCAUCCAUCCGGUACGAUUAAAGCGUAUUUAAGAUCAAUUUUGAUUAAGAACGCGCGAUGACGUACCAUCUCAUGUAGUACGUUUGACCUGGCGUCGUCAGGAUCAUUCGUAUACGAUACUCAAAC